GACGAACGCUGGCGGCGUGCUUAACACAUGCAAGUCGAACGGUGAACCUGCUUCGGUGGGGGAUCAGUGGCGAACGGGUGAGUAACACUUAGGCAACCUUCCCUCACCUCUGGGAUAACUCCAACAACUUGGGGCCAAUACUGGUUAUGACCGCUGACCGCAUGGUCUGGUGGCGGUAAGAUUUAUCGGCUGGGGUUUGGCCCGCGGCCUAUGAGCUGGUUGGUGGGGUAGUGGCCAACGAAGGCGCCGACCGGUAGCCGGCCUGAGAGGGUGACCGGCCACACUGGGACUGAGACACGGCCCAGACUCCUACGGGAGGCAGCAGUGGGGAAUAUUGCGCAAUGGGCGAAAGCCUGACGCAGCGACGCCGCGUGGGGGAUGACGGCCUUCGGGUUGUAAACCUCUUUCAGCAGAGACGAAGCGAAAGUGACGGUACCUGCAGAAGAAGCACCGGCCAACUACGUG
This 465-nucleotide ribosomal RNA is filed under the name uncultured bacterium. RNAcentral's name for it is "partial 16S ribosomal RNA". It matches the Rfam family "Bacterial small subunit ribosomal RNA", at positions 28 to 507 of the family's 1533-position model. The record is from RNAcentral.